This 28160-nucleotide long non-coding RNA is filed under the name Sorghum bicolor (sorghum). RNAcentral describes it as "long non-coding RNA (SBIC_LNC008187)". Lineage: Eukaryota; Viridiplantae; Streptophyta; Magnoliopsida; Poales; Poaceae. The record is from RNAcentral.
CACGUCGCUAUGAAGAAAUCAUUAUAAAUAUAAUAAUAAGACAAUGUAAAUAUUGUUAUAAGACAUUAUAAGUGUAUUGACAAAAUCCAGUUGUUAAGAAGGGCCAAAAUAACUAAAUGUUGGGUAGACACAUCUACACCUAAAAAGACUCUAAAUUAAUCAUAUAUCCGAUGAUACAUAAUCAUGCCUAUCUGUGUAACACCCGGUCUAGCUACCACCAUGUCCUAUGUCACAAGUCCCAAGUCAAACCGUGCCACAAUUUCAAUGGAGUGCCGCAACUGUGCCACUGCCAAGCCUCCUCACCUUGUAUCCUAACACUACAGGAUUCGGGCAAUUUGCCUGGUGCCUAAAACAAAACACCAGGCAAAGGUAAAAAAACACCCGGCAACUAAUUUGCCUGGUGCAACACCCGGCAAACAACCCCCGGCAAAAAAAGACCAGGCAAAGAAAUAUUUGCCGGGUGUUUUUUAUCGCGCACUAGGCAAAUCUUUUGCUUGGUGUUUUUGUCGGCACCAGGCAAAAAAAAGUUACCGUCACGGUGCCUCCGUUAGCUAGUUUUUUUACCGGGUGCCAGGUGGAGGCACCCGACAAAUAUAUAUAUAUUUAUCUUUUCGACAGCAUCCCUUGCCGGGUGUCUUCUGAGGUUGGCACCCGGCAAAUAAAUUUGUAAAGAAAAAAUUUAAAAAGAUUUGCCUGGUGUUUUACAGAAAACACCCGGCAAAUCUGGGAACCGAACUGGAAAAUGUUCCCAAAUUUGCCUGGUGUUUUCCUAUAAAACACCAGGCAAAGGCUAUAUAUAUAAUUUUUUUAUUUUUAUUUUUUUUCUGUGUUCACAAACAAAUCACAGACAAUAUACAUGACACAUAUUUGACAUCACAAACACAAUAUGGGACAUAUAUAUCACAUCAACCAUAAUAUGUUCAUCGAACAUCGACAUGUUCAUCAAACGAAACAUGUCUCACACAAGCAUAAUAUGUCCAAUAUAUAUGUCCAUGAAGCGGCGAAAAGGGAAAGCAAACUAGAGGUUGACGGGAAACUAGUCGUCUGGUGAAGCAAUUUGCCUGGCAUGUCCUGGCGAAGGCGUAGAUCGGUCGCCUGCUUGCAGUUGAGGUGGGUUAUUCGAACCCACGGUUGACUGAGACUAAGGAGAAGAGGUUGCAUGUGUUAGAGUAGUCAUAUACUGAAAACACUUGUCGAAGCCAACUUGGUUCAUAUGUACUCACAGGACUCGCAUGAGGACUGAACAAAGCCCCCCCAUUCUGACUCUGGAGGAACGCCUUAAUUUCGGCCAGCUGCUUGGCAUGGUUUGCUACCUCCUCAUUGAGCCUCUUGUUCUCGGCCUGCAACAUUUGAAUCGAAUGUAUCAGUAAUGCAAAGGCAACUAAGUUAUGUUAAGAUCAAUGUACGACGAGUGCCACAGGACUAACCUCGAGUGCCACAAUCUUCUGCUGUGAAGGGGACGACCGUUGGCGUAUGGCCGGGCCUCCGCUCGGGGUUUCAGCUCGGAUCUGGGAGAGAGAGGGAUCCUGGGUGGAAUCGAGAACGCCAUCGCCAAGCCAUUUGUCAAGUAUAUGUCCGAAUCAUGAAUGAUGCACAGAUUAUAUUCUACCUUCUUGAAGGUCCCUAGAUUACAUCGCCUUGCAAAUUACCAAGAUAUGUUAAAAAAAUGGAGAUCUGGCAGAAACACAGUUUUUUCUAAAGGUUUGAAAUAAUACUAAAUGCCAAGUCAAGUUCUGGCUACAACUUUUCCAGACUCAAAAACAGAGUUAUGGUACUUCAUACUGGGCAGAGCAGAUCUGAAUCAGCUUAAUCAACUUGGCACGCAACAUCAACUUGUUCCAAUUUUCAGAAACAACUGCAGAAACAAACAUGUUGGCUCGAGACAGUAUUACCUAUCAAGCAUGAUGCCCCAGGAGACGACGUCCCGCACGGCCAUUCCGUCAAACACUUUCCGCGCGUCCCCAACGCAUCCGCACGCUGCAUAUGCCCCGACCAGCGCGGUUCCAACGAAUCCAUCGUCCAGUGACCCAACCCUGAAGGCCAGCGGCGCCCCUGACAUAAGCGCCAGCACCCUCGCAGCGAGCAGCGGAGCGGAGCAGGGCUGGAAGCGCUCGGGCCCCGGUGGAGGCAGGCGCAGGCAGCGAGCACGAGGCGUGGGGUGGUGGCGGAUGCACGGAUGGUGGCGCGGUAGGCCCGGUCGGGGUCCGGGUGGGUCGCCGGUGGUGAGGGGAUUUGGUGGCCGCGGCGGAGGAGGACGGCCUAGAGCUAACUCUGGUGGUGGUGCGUGUGCGGGUUCAUUGUUGCCAGUGUCUCGUUAAGCCGGCGCGCAGCGGGCGGCGCGGGCGCGAGCGCGGGCGCGAGCGUGGGCGUGAGGGCGGCGCGGCGCGGGGAGGCAAGCGGCGCGGGUGUGCGGGCGGCGGCGCGGGUGUGAGGGCGGCGGCGCAGGUGAGUGUGUGUGUGUUUUUUUUUUUUAUAUUGUGACUUAGGGUUCGGGAGAAAUAGGCUGGCCGGAUGGGCUUAUUUCCUAUUUGGGCCGGGUGUCUGGACGAGUGGCAUCCGAGAAAAAAAAAUUUAUUUGCCUGCUGCCUUGUUCAGUAGCACCUGACAAAUAUUUAUUUGCCUGGUGUAUUAAAGGCACCAAGCAAAUUAAUUUUAUAUUUUUAUUUGUUUUUGCUCUAGUUUUUAUUUGUGACCUUUAUACAGUAAUUCAAACCCACUAUCAAAAUUUGAGACAAUUUUGAGUUUUGUAAGCAUAUUUGGUUAAUUUUUUUUCUUUCGUUGCAUUUUUCGGACGACUCCUAAUUUGAACUGCAGGUACAUGAAAUAUAUGCAUUAGGGUCAUUCGAAAAAUGAUAUCCAUGAUGUUUGGGGUAUGUCGAGGCCUUAUCCAGGAACCCUCUUGAAAUUACCCCCAUCAUGACACCCUGACAUGAGGUAGGUAUCGCGUCUACUCAGGAUCUAAAUCUGAAAAUUCCCGAACCUCAUCCGAUAAUCACAAAAAUUACCGAUCUUGCUGGGUCUCCAUUUCUGAGACUAUAGUGAGAUGAUUCCACAUGAAUCGAGCGACACCGGACUACGAGUAGAAGGUGGCGAUGUCCUCCAGCGCUUUAGCUGUGACUUGGUGCUCUUGGAGCCUUUUCACUUGGCUUGACUGGGCUGGGGGGCAUCGACACUUGUUUGGGCGCUUCUAGUCUUCACCGAUUUCCCAGUUUGCUGUUACAACAAGCCAAAUUUCAUGAAUAACAGUAUGNNNNNNNNNNNNNNNNNNNNNNNNNNNNNNNNNNNNNNNNNNNNNNNNNNNNNNNNNNNNNNNNNNNNNNNNNNNNNNNNNNNNNNNNNNNNNNNNNNNNNNNNNNNNNNNNNNNNNNNNNNNNNNNNNNNNNNNNNNNNNNNNNNNNNNNNNNNNCAAAUAUGCUUAGAAAGUGAAAAGUUGUCUCAAAUUUUGAUAGUGAGUUUGAAUUACUGUACAAAGGUCACAAAAAAAACUAGGGCAAAAACAAAAAAAAUAUAAAAUUAAUUUCCCUGGUGUCUUUGAAGACACCAGAUUUGCCUGGUGCCAGGGAACAAGGCACCAGGUAAAGAAUAACGGCAAAUCGCGCCGUCCGUUGGCCCCGUCACGGGCAGAUUCUUUGCCGGGUGUUCUAUUUUACCAGGUGUCGACACCCCGCAAAUUUUAUAUAUUUGGCGGGUGUUUUUUUUUGCCGGGUGUCGCUGUCUAGAAAACACCAGGCAAAUCAUAUUUUGCCGGGUGUUUUUGUUUGCCGGGUGCUUCUGCGUAGGGCACUAGGCAAAUAUAUUAUUUGCCGGGUGCCUGAUAAAAAGAACCAGGCAAAUGAUUUUACACCAGGCAAAUCUCGCGUUUCCUGUAGUGUAAUGGUCGCCGACCGAAAAAGACUUUAAAGUAAUUAUCUACCCGGUGAUAUCAAAUCAUGUCUAUCCAUGUAACAUCCGGUCUACCAGCCAUGUCUUGUAUCGUAAGUCCUAGAUCGAACCGCACCAGAAAUUCGACGAAGUACAACAAAUGUACCAUCAUUGCCGAGCCUCCUCGCUUGUACCCUUCUAUCCUAAGAACUGCAAUGCGUAUAUAUUGUGUUAAAAUUCUCACCAAGUCAGGUAUGUGUGUUCAUAGAUAAUCUCUUGUGUUAAGAUUAUUUAAUAAAAAACAUUGUGUGAGGCAUGGAUAGGACGAGCACGCUGAUGCAGCAGUGCAGGUAUGUGACCAAGUUAUUCACACUUAGUCUCUACACGUCAGAAGUCCCAAGUCAAACCAUGCCAGAAAUCAAUGAAGUCCCGCACCCGUGGCAUUGCCAAGCCGGCCUCCUCGCCUUAUCAAGCCAGUCAUGUGUUUAUAGGUAAUCUCUUGUGUUAAGAUUUCUCAAUGGAAAAACAUUGUUCAAGUGGUGCAUGUAUCUGACGAGCAUGCUAACGCCGCAGCACAGGUCAUACUUAAUGGUAUUACUUUUAAUCGCCGCAACGCAUAGACACAUCAAAAUAUACUAUACUCAAAGCUCACAUGUCCACAUCCUACCUAGUUAUAGUACAAAGAGCAGAUCCACAUAUCUGUGUCCAAUACAAAGUCAAUGGAGCUCAUGUGUCUGUGUGCGAUAGUGAUUUUCUGUUCAAGAAACUGACCCGGGUGUGACGCAUGAGCAUAUAUCUAGUAAAGAAAGAACUUAAGCAUUACUCCCUUUGUCCUAAACUAUAAAUUUAUAAGUCAUUCUAAGAAUUUUAUAGAGUUAAAGUAUUUAAAUUUGACUACAUUAAUUUAUAAUAAGAUAUUAACAUCAUUGGAUUCUUCAUUAAUCAUAUUUAUAUACUUAUACCUAUUUGGUAUCAUAAAUCUUUAUAGUUCUAUUUAUAAAUUUGAUCAACUUAAGAUGUUUUUACUUUUUAAUAUUAUUGGGAUGAUUUAUAAUUUGGAAUAAAGGAAGUAAGGACGUUCUCAUUACAGCAAUAUGCUAUGGUUUUAAUUUGUUUGGCAGCGCGCGGAGGAGUAUAGCUUCGACUGUGAUGCCAGGGCCAUAGCCGACGAGGAGGCCCCAGUCGAGGCCUUCCCCUGCCGUGCUCAGACCCAGCUGCUCUGACAUCCGCCGCAUCUCUUCCAAAACUAGGAUGACAGAGGAACACCUUGUGUUGCCAUAUUGCCUCAUCACAGCCCUCGACGCCGCCAGCUUCUUCUCCCCGAGGCCCAGCUUGCUCUCAAUCCUGUCAAGUAUACCUCGUCCACCUGGAUGCACCACCCAGAACACCUCAUCGUUCAAAUCCGGAACGGGCACCACCGUGGCCUCCUGCAGCAUAAGCUCCACCAACCGCUCCACGGAGCCGGACACAUGCCGGGGUAUGUCUCGGUCAAGUGUGUACACUAUCCCUUCCUCCCGGAGCUUGGACACCAAGGCCUCCUCCGUCCCCGCCACGGUCUCCUGACACGCCAUCACAAGCUCAAACAUGGCGUGCUCUUCGGCGGUGGGGCUGCAGCCGACGACAACAGCACCGGCAGCGUCACCCAAGAUGGCCUGGCCGACGAGGUCCCCCAUGUGGGACGCCGAGGGGCCUCGAAGCGACAGGGUGCACACCUCGGAGCACACCACAAGGACCCGGGCGCCGGGGUUGUUCUCCGCAAGGUCCUUGGAGAGGCGAAGGGCGGUGCAGCCACCAUGGCAGCCGGUCUGGUACAGCAUGAAGCGCUUCGUCGAUGGUUUCAGGCCGAGGAGCCUGGCGAGCUCACAGUCUGCGCCAGGCAUGCAGCCGCUGCUUGACGUGCUGGCCACGAGAUGCGUGAUGUCGGAGGCCUGCUUGCCCCAGUCACUCAUGGCCCUGCCUGCCGCUGCCACGCCGAGCUCGGGUACACCCGCAUCGGCGAGCUCCUGCCGGCGGGUGAGGGAAGGGGAGCUGUACGCCGUGAUCGACGGGCUUUCCCUCAACAUUUCGUCGGACAUGUAAAAGUGUCGCUUCUCGAUCAUGGUCUUCUCACCUGAAUUUCAUCAUGUGCUGUACGUAUUAGAAACAAAACUAGAAUUAUUGAACUACCACAUACUUCGUGGUGAAGUUAUUUGUCUGGAUGAAUUGCCUAAUAACAACAUUUAGCUCAAGUUUCGCUAGUUCCAAAUUCAGCAGAUCUCGUCUAUGGUAUAUUACACAAAAUAAUAACAAGGUAGUUCUAUAAAGGACAAUCAACUGUACAUGCAUGGACUUACAAAUGUUUGCAAACUUUGCCUUCAAGUCCACCAUGUGAUUGCUUCUGCUAAUCUCAAAAUAGUAAUCAGAGAAUGAAUUUUGUUCAAACUCAUGCAGUGGAACAGCUUUGCCGACUCCCAAAAUGGUUGCAUUUCUGCCUUCAUGACGACAGCCCAUUCGAUGAUUAUUCACAUCUGGUUCCUUCAAAGAACCCAUCAAAAGCUUGUAUUAUUCUUGAACAAGAGGAAAAUGGUGCAUGUGAUCGAUCUACUUGUUCGGAUGCCUUGACCCUAAGGGUACAGUUAUAUAUAGGCACGUAUCGAUCGUGCGCCCGAGUUGCAAUAAACUCAUAUAUACAAUGCCAAUGGCGGGUGUGUGACGUUCUUGCACCUCUCCUUGGCAGAGCUAGAGUGGUUUUUCAACUUUUUUUUUUUCUUGGACUGGUUUCUAAUGAUUUCAGAUUAACAAACAUUGUAACUCCUCUUCUUUUAUAAAUAGAAAGUGGCACUGUCUCGUGCCUAUCGUUCAAAAUAUAAAUAUAUGAACAAUGCCAAUGAAUUAUUGAAUGAGAAACCAUUGAUUAAUUGGACAACUAAAGCCUGAUUAGUCCCAUUAUGUCGCAUGUAGCCCAAAUAAUAUAUCUUUCCGUGGCCAACUACGGAUUCGCUCUGGCUCAAGCCUUCUGCGAUGGGCCUCUGCUUCGCUCCGUCACAAGUCGGCUUUUAUAAUAUGCAGAUGAAUUUAGAACAUAUUCAAUAAACUAAAUCUUGAGACAAAUUCAUCUUGUAGCAUAAAUCAAUACCAUCAUCUUGAACAUAACAAAGAAAAUCCUCUUGGGCUAAUCCACUAAACCAAUUAAGCUUGAGCACAACUCAAACUUAGCAACAGGAACAUGUUUAGUCAUCAUAUCUGCAGGAUUAUCAUGAGUACUGAUCCUGGAUACCUUUAACUUACCAUCAUCGAUCACAUCAUGAACAAAAUGGUGUUUGAUGUCAACACAUUUAGUCCUCUCAUGGAACAUCUAAUCUUGGUAAGGUAAAUGACACUUUGACUAUCGCAAAAUAAAUUAAUGCAAGAAUCAACUCCACACAGCUCAGCGUACAAACCUUUCAGCAAAAUUAAUUCCUUGCACGCCUCAGAAACAACCAUGUACUCUGCUUCAGUAGUUGACAAAGCAACAACAGACUGCAAUGUAGCCCUCCAACUUACAACAUAACUGCGAACUGUGAACACAUAUCCAGUGAGUGACCUAUAUCUGUCCAGAUCAGCAGCAUAAUCUAAAUUCACAUAACAAUAAUUCCCUUUUCAGUUCUGCCAAAUUUCAAAUAAGAAUUUGUUGUGCCUCUGAGGUAACUGAAAAUUAACUGAAUUGCGCUUCAUUGUUAUUUACCAGGAUUAGACAUAUAUCUACUAACCAAACUCAUAGCAUAUGACAAAUCUGGACGAGAUCAAACCAUGACAUACGUCAAAGACCCAACAGCACUAGAAUAAGGAACUCUCGACAUGUAUUUAAUAUCUUGAUCUGUACUAGGACAUUGUGCAGCUAAGAAUUCAAAAUGAGGUGUAAUAGGAGUACUAACAGGCUUAGCAUUUUGCGUGUUGAAAUGCUGAAGAACUUUCUUAAUAUAAUUUUGCUGACUAAGAAAUAGCAAACCAGAAUUUCUGUCUCUAUUAAUUUCCUCCGGCAACGGGCUUUCGCUUCGCUGCGUCAGAAAUCAACCUUUAUAAAGUGCAACUGAAUUUGGAACAUAUUGAACAGACCCAACUUUGGCCCAAUGGCAGAUAAUCUGUGAGCAACCAGAGAUUACAAAAGUGAGAAUUGUAAGCUACAACAGUGCUAGUGAAAUUGCAAAACAGACUUUCCUUCAAGUCUCGCAGCAGACCACUCGCCGAGCUUCUGUCGAAGUCCAGAUAAUUGGCGGCUUGAACCACCAUCAUAGCGUCAGUCUCCAAGACCACCUUCUGUUCAGUUGCCCACUGCAAAGCUUGGAGGCAGGCAACAAUAUAUCUCGGCAUGGAAUGCCUAAAGUACCUUCCCCCACGCGUGCCGUAACCUGAGCAGAUGACCGCGCCGUCGCCUCCUCUCAUGACAUACCCCACUACAGAAUUUUUGUAAUUAAUAUACUCCCAUGGUACAUCUAGAUCUAGUAUCAUAAUGAACAAACCUUCAUGUUCACUUGGAGCCUUGGAGGGCAUAAAAAUUGUCACAAAUGAAAACAAAAAAAAACUAUACAUGUUGGUGCCCACCAUUUUGCCAUUAUGCAAAAACAAACCAAAGUACUGCACAAUUACUCAUGCACAUGCCAUUAUAUAUUAAAGAAUUAAACUAAUUAUCUUUGUUGAUUGUACUAAACAUACAUUUAGUAAAUAUAAUUGGAAUUCAAAUAACAUUAAAACAACACUGCCACUGUAUAUUUCCCACUGAAUCACCCGAUUUCUUUUGACUUGACCCAAGAGUUGUGUCUAAAGAUAUUUAUUUCAAGUAUUUCUUGCCACAUCUGGGGAGUUAGUAUAUCAAACUAAGAGCUUGUUUGGCAUAACUCAAUUUCACUAGUAAAACUAUUUUUUUUAGAAAAUAGCAUCAUGAGCAACUUUCUAACCUGAGCUAUUUUGAAAAAGGAACAUAUCUAGUGCAAACCACAACCUCCGUGAAAACCUGUGCAAACCAUGGCAAAAAAGUCAUCUAAAUUCACCAAAAAAAUCACACAUGUAGAUGUUAUGAUGAUACACAGCAUUGUAAAAUAUCUUAUCCAAACUCGAAUUCAUUUGUGAGAUAUAAAAAUAACAAAUUUCUAGCAAAUCUUGUGGACACCUUUCUGUCUUGAAAUUUGUUAUUUUUAUAUCUCACAAACAAAGAUGAGUUUGGACAAGAUAUUUCACAAUAUUGUAUAUCAUCAAAACAUUUACAUGUGUGAUUUUUUUGAUGAAUUUAGAUAACUUUUUUGCCAUGGUUUGCAUAGGUUUUUACGGAGGUUGUGGUUUGCACUAGAUAUGUUCCCUUUGAAAAAAGUGUUUGGUAAAAUAGCUCACCAUCUACUUUAUGCAUAGAUGAGAGAGAAAAAUGAGAGAGAGAGAGCUGCAAUAAGCUAUUUUUUUAGCAUCCGAACUAAUGUCUUUGUGAGAAGAGAAGAAAAACAGUUUCACCCAUGAAACUAUUUUAGAAAUAAGUGUUAAAAAAACAGCUCACACAACAGCUCGUGAAGCUGUCGUGAGCUGUACUAAACAGGCCCUAAGUCAAUAGCUUGCUUGCAAAGACCUGAGAAAGUGAGAGAUGCAAUUUUUUUUCUGGAUGACUAUAUUGUAUUUCUGCUCCAUGACGUCCAAUGCAAGCAUCUGGGCUUUUAAUUUUCUUACUAGGUGUGUAGUACGUUUCUUGGCCUGGUUGGUUGUGUCUAUGACCAUGUGAAACACGCGGCGUAGAUACAUGAGUAUGGGCACUAUCACUUUCCUUCCGACUUAAUAGAUUUUCUUACUAGAGUUGAUACAAAAUUUUGUCUUUGUCCAACUUAACUUAAAAACAUAAAUUUUAUUGUGUGGUGUCUAUUUUUUAGAGAUGCCUCUAGAUCUAGCCGCAUCUAAAAAUCUAUUAAUAUGAGUGGCUGGAUCUAGAGCAACAUCUAAAAAUAAGAGCAUUUAUAGAGGUGACUGAAAAUAUCUGCCAUCCCUACAAAUGCAUUUCUACAUGCAGUUUAUCUCGAGAACUAGAUGUAGAGUCGGUUUUAGGUAGAGCCUGCACUAUAGAAAAUAUGAGGUGUUUCUAUAAAUAUAUUUUAUAGUAGUGAUUGUACUAAAGAAGCAUUUAAUAGUUCAACAUUGCAAUUCAAAUAACAUUAUAGCAAUGUAGGUAGACUCCCCAAUUAAUUGUCUUAGGCAUUGGUUUUAAAAACUUCAGAAAUUUUCCUUUAUCCCCAAAAGCACCAUCCAAUUUAAAAUCUGAAUCAACCGAUUUCUUUUGACUUGGCAGAAAAGUUGUGUUGAAAGGUAUUUAUUUCAAGUAUUUAUAUUAAAGUUAGUCACUAUCUUGCAGACACCUGAGAGAAUGAGAGAUGCAUAUUUUUUGUGGAUGACUACUGGAUAUCUGCUCCCAUUUUAGUACGUGUAUGACACACGGCUCCAUGCCGUCCAAUGCAAGCAGCUGGGCUUUUAAUUUUCUUACAAGAUGUAGUACGUUUCUAGUCCUGAUUAAAUUGGUCGUGUCUAUCUAUGUCCACGUGAAACACGCGCAGCAGAUACAUAGCAUGGGCACUAUCACUUUCCUAACGACUUACGUAGAUUUCUGAAUCGAGAUCCGUCUAUAGAUAUAGAACUGUCUCUCUCCUCGUGGUCCAUGCUGGGGAGGAUUAGCUAGCUAAGGCCACAAUCAUGAACAUCUUCUCAACAAACAGUGGUAAGAAACACACUAUAUUAACCCAAGCCAAGAAUGCACGACCCAGGCAUAUCUAACCAGAGCACAGAAAACCAACACAAAAAGGAUACAUUGAGCAACAUACAAUAUAAUGGCAGCUCAGGCUUCAUCCAUUAUAGUCCCCACCGACGCCGAGCUGCUGCAGGCACAGGCUGAUCUAUGGCAAAACAGCCUGUGCUACCUCAAAUCCAUGGCGCUCAAGUGCGCAGCUGAGCUCGGCAUACCCACUGCCAUCUACCGCCUCGGCGGUGCUGCCUCGCUUGCCGACCUGAUCGCCGCACUGUCACUCCCACAGGCUAAGCUGCCGUUCCUUGGUCGUCUCAUGAGGCUGCUGGCCUCGUCGGGCGCCUUCGCCGUGGUUGGGUCUACUGAUGAGGCUGUCUACUCGCUCACACCACUGUCAUACCUCCUGGUGGAUGGCAUCGCUGGCGAUAGUAACCACAUGGACCAUGCACCUUUCCUGCUGACAGUGACUUCGACGCACUACAUUGACUUGGCAAUGGACCUAGCUGAUUGGUUCAAGAAGGAAGACAAGACACCCCCUUUCGAUCACAAGCACGGAGCAUCGCUGUUCGAGGACAGCAUGGAGCGCACGGAUCCCGGGUUCCACAAGAUGUCAAAGCUGGGUUUACUGGUCCACGACAACUUUGGAACCAACAUUGGCGUGCGGGACUACCAGUUCGUUUUCCAGGGUGUAAAGUCAGUGACUGACUGCUGUUACCAUGGGGAUGGCACCACAGGGAAGGCCAUCGCCAUGGCCUUCCCACAGAUCAAGGUCACUGUGCUAGAUCUUCCACAGGAGAUUCGCAAGAUACCGGCUGAUGGUGUUGUCAAUUAUGUUGGAGGUGACAUGUUCAAGUCCAUCCCACCUGCUCAAAUGGUGACACUUAAGGUAUAUAUAAACAAUAUAUGGAACUAGUGUUUCUAUGAUGUAUUAUAUAUGAUGAACUUAACUUGUACAAUUUUUUGUGAGCUUGUUGACUAAUGUCAUUGAGGUUUCAAUUUCCAUGGAAGAUGGUGCUGCACCACUGGAGUGAUGAGGACUGCGUGAAGAUCCUUGCCAAUUGCAAGAAGGCAAUACCUUCAAAGGAAGAUGGAGGGAAAGUUGUCAUCGCUGAUAUUAUUCUUGACCCUGCCUCAGGACCAGUAAUGUUUGAAACUCACCUCCUAAUGGACGUCUGCAUGAUGCUGAUGAAAGGAGGCCGGCAGCGGGACUUGAAUGACUGGCGUGACCUCAUCCUGAAAGCAGGGUUCAGUGACUAUAAGCUGCUCAAGAACUUUGGAGCUCGUGGUGUCCUGGAGAUCUAUCCCUAAGACCUACAUUAUCCUCGACGAUCGGCGCAUCUUUAUAUUGUGGUUUGGCGCGAAGAAACCUACAUAUAGUACUAAAAUAAAGGGAGUGUGUCAUAGUUUUCUGAAUGAUCGUUUCAUGGAACACUGACUAGCAGCUUAGCUGUGACAAGCUUGGUUGCUCCAUGAUCUGUUUAACUUUCAUUUGGAGAAGUAUCUUGGCACAUCAUGAGAUGCUACGUGCAUCAUGUUAAUACAUACCCACCGUCCAGGAGUGUUGGAAAAUGUGUGUACUAUCUUGUAAUUGGUCUUGUAUAUCGGAAAGCAGGAGCAACUAUUUUACCGAUACCAGAUACAUAUCAAUAAAAAAAAACAGGAGAGACUCUGAACUACUGUUUUUAUGUAUUUCCUUCGGCCCAAACAAUUGCACAUUAGUUUUUGAUAAGUUAAAUCUUUUUUAGUUUUACUUGAUUUAUACACUACCAGAAAUCAGAGAUUUCAUAAGAAAUAGUUGGAUUUUGUGUGUAUGUCUGUGUGUGUCUGUGUGUACGUGUGUGAGAAAGAGAGAGAGAGUUGUGCACUGCGGCUGAGGAAGAGGGAAAGAGGUUAUAUAGUUUAGGGUUUUUUUAGGUGGACUGACUUGGGCCGAUAGCCUAUAUAGUAAUAGGCUGAAUUGCUACUACAAAUGAAUUAAUACAAAUAAACAUUCUCUUUUUUAUUUUUUGAAUAAAAUUAGAAAUAAUAUAUGUACGAAGACAUGUUCUAUUUGAUCCUGAAAAUCAAUGCAAAAUUAAUGCUGACUUUCGGUGACUCUAAUGAAAAAAUUAAUAAUAUCAUAGGCGGUCGAAAACUUCUAAGAAUUGGUAUGGAGGCACCAUGUUUGUGUAUAAGUUUGCCAUAAAAAAUAUAAAUUGUUUUACUAAGGUGGAACUAUAUACUGUUCAUAAAUGGAUACAUCCCUAACAUAGUUUUGUAUGGCUCUGAGAGAUGUACCAUUUGUUCAAAAUGUAGGGUAUAUCUUUUUUAAAGCCAUUUACAUUUUUUUGAAGCAUUAUACACAAAAACAUGUACUAGUACACAGAAAAAUUAGUACAAGCUGUUUUAAACUGUAAUACCCAAUUUUCAAAACCAGAUAUGCACCAUAUGUGAGUCAUAGAAGUCAAAUCUCACAUAUAGCUAUAAAUAAGGGGUAAUAUUUGUCGAGGGUAUCAACAAGGGGUACCCUCACCAAUGCGUAUAACGAGACCAUCCGUACACACGCGCGGCCAUCGACGGUCGCAGCCUCGAAGACGGAAAUAGCGUCGAGCGAAUCGGUCAGGGCUCGAGUGACAACUGCCGUCGAAUACGGAAGCGGGCUCGAGCGAACCGAGAGGCGUCGAGCGCAAGGACACUGUCCGCCGCCUGACGCGCGCACGAGAGCCAGGGCAUUUAAUGCACCUUACGCUUCCCCACCUAACACAUGGGUCACGAGAGGCUUCUGUCCCAUCGUUCUUUUUGCAGCCUUCCCACCGAACGACCCAGGGCGUGUCAGGACGCGAGAAACAAGGAUGGAACGUCUAAUCGGGACCCCCUCGAGACACCCAGGGUCAGCGCUCCAGACAUCGAUACCUCGUACGGCGUCCGACCCUCGACUUCACCAGGCUCCUUCCUGGAGACGAGUCGGGCGUCGACUGACCACGCCGUAACCGCCCCGCCGGAUUUGCCGCCGAGCCAUAUAAGCGUGCAUCCGCCGAACCAAUCCAAGACGGCGCGCAGAGCAGAAUGCAGGGGCACGCGUGAUCAUCACCGGGCUAUUAAGACAGGACGGCUCGAGGUCAUGCCGGUACGGAAACCUCGAGUAGCUCAGCGCUCCAUGCUGCUAUCGACUCCAAUUCCUACACCUAUACAUGUACCCUAGGACCUUCCUUGGAACUAUAAAAGGAGGGACUCAGGAAUAGAACAAGAACAGAACACAAGACCACGCUCAUACGUAGUAGAGCUCCACACUUCAUACCACGCUUGUAUUCACCCCUGUACAAGCACUUAGGUGCAAGAUAAUACAAACUCUCUCCCCCCGCUGGACGUAGGGCCUUAUCUUGCCCGAACCAGGAUAAAUCUCUGUGUCUUCUUGCAUCACCAUCCGGGAAAGGGAGCACGCAUACAAAUUUACUCGUUGGUGUGACCCCCCCGGGGGAAAACACCGACAGUUGGCGUGCCAGGUAGGGGCCCUGCGUGUUUUUCAUCGAUUUCCCACUCCUUUCCGGAUGGCUACUCUUGCCUCGCCGUUUUCGCGCUCCACGGUGAUUUGGUUUGGGAGCCUCGAGUUCAUGUCUACGGGCUCCGGCUACGACAUGAUCUUGCUCUCAGUCAAAGGACCAGGAGGAGCCCGCGUUACGCCAGCACGGUUGAAGGCCCCGAGACGCCCUCACCACCACGCCUCCCCGCCUAAGAAGAGGCGCGGACAGCACCGCCGCGGCCCCUCUGCUUCAGCACGACCAACAACUCGUGUGAGGCAGGACGUAGGCCACAAGUCGGCAGCACCGUGUGGCGGAGCAACAAGCGCGACGACUCAGCACCACGCGACGACGGGAGGGGACGCGUCUCGCGCGCUCUCCCCCACCGCAGCUAGGCUACUUCCGCACGGGUUGUUCUCUCCAAGAGCGGCACUGCCGUUCGGAUUGGACAACGCCGCGGCGUCGCUCGCCAGGGCGAUAUGCCCAAACGCCCAGACGUACGUAGAAAGACCAAUGGUCCUCCCACGUAGCUCUGAAGCGCGGCGGUCAGCGUCCGAGCUGCUGGACCUUUCCCGAGUACGAGGCCUCCGUCGUCUAGGCCCCGGACGAUACUCGAUCACCUCCCUCAGGCAACGAUUGCUGGAGGAAGGACGUGGGUGUUUCUACGCCGCCGAACCGGACUCCGACUCCGAGACAGACAACUAUGACCCUACGAGGGAAUGCUAUCACAUCGACGGGGCGGUAGAAACCACUGACGAGACACGGGAUGCUGCUGCGGGUGGUCGAGCCCCCGCGGCGCGAGAAGACCCCAGGACGCCUGGGAACGACGGACAGGUCGACCCCCCUCCUCAGGAAGACAGAACCGCGCAGCUCGCGCAGCUGCGGGAGCUCAAGAUGAAGCUCGACGAAGACCGCGAGCGCCUCGUCCUGCUCGAGCAAAUCCUCGAGCAAGACCUGCCCUACCCGCCGGGCAGAAGUGUCCGCAGACACGCUCGAGAGGUACAUCGACAGAUCGUCGGCGACUCAGAGCUAGAGCAACCUGUCAGCCGUUUCCCUCGAGCAGGCCAGAAUGUAGUGGCAGCGACGAUGCUGCUACGUAACAUGCUAGAGCCAUCAAAUUCCCAGGCCCGACGCAUUCGAGAUGAGGUACAAACAUUGCUCCAGGUGGCGGCGGUUCAACAAGCCGAAAGUUCGGCGUCUCGACGGCGAGGAGCUGCCACAGAGAAGCGCGACGAACAGCCUCUAAACGAAGAGGAGGUGUCAGUCCAACAACAACCUCCCCCUCGAGGUAGAAAGACCGCUCUCAUCCUCCCCGUCGACGGUCAACGUCGACACGACGCGCGGCACGGCAUCAAAGAAAAUCGACGCCGUCGGCACGGAGACGCGGAAGAGCGCGGUUAUAGCGCGCAUCGCGGUGGGAGAUACGACAGCGACGAGGACCGGGUGGCCCCCGAGCCACCAGGCCCACGGGUGUUCAGCAGGGCGAUCCGCAGCACGCCCCUGCCCAAUCCAUUUUGACCCCCGACCAGCAUCGCGAAGUACAAUAGAGAGACCAAACCAGAGUUGUGGCUGGCCGACUUCAGGCUGGCCUGUCAGCUAGGUGGCGCUCGAGGUGAUGAUCGAGCCAUCAUCAGACAGCUACCCCUUUUCCUCUCCGACACCGCCCGUCGAUGGCUCGAGGAACUCCCUGCCAAUCAGAUCCACAAUUGGGUUGAUCUGGUUAGAGUCUUCGAGGGUAACUUCAAAGGGACCUACAUACGACCAGGGAACUCAUGGGACCUCAGCAAGUGCAAGCAGAAGUCAGGAGAAACUCUUCGGGAGUACGCUCGACGCUUCUCGAAGCAGCGCACUGAGCUGCCGCACAUCCCUGACCACGACGUCAUCUUGGCGUUUGUCUUGGGCACCACGAGUCGAGACUUGGUGCGGGAAUUAGGUCGCAAUCGACCUCAGACCGUCGACGAGCUGAUGGACGUAGUAGCCAACUACGCGGCAGGGGAGGAGGCAGUCAGCGCCUUCUUCAGCUCAGAAGGAAGAAAAGGCAAGCAGCCCGUCGAAGAAGAUGGGACCCCUAGUCGAGGCCUCAAGAAGAAUAAAAAGAAGCAGAAAGUGCGGCAGUUCCACCGGGAAGAUUCCGAUGACAACCUUGUCGCCGCCAUGGAUCGAAAGAAACCUCGAGGCCCUCCGGAUGGAGGCAUCUUUGACAAGAUGUUGGAGGAGCCGUGCCCUUACCAUAAGGGAGGCACCAACCACAAGCUCAAGGACUGUCGUAUGCUGAGAAAGCAUUUCGACGGUCUGGGGUUCAAAAAAGAUACGCGUGAUGACUCCAAGAAAGAGAAGGCUGGCAGCAAGGAGGACAACAAAGAUGACGACGGCUUCCCCGCCGUCCACGACUGCUACAUGAUCUAUGGCGGGCCCUCGACUCAAUUGACCACGAGGCAGCGCAAAAGGGAGCGUCGCGAAGUCUUUGCAGCAAGAAUGGCGGUGCCCCAAUACCUUAGCUGGUCAAGCACUCCUAUCACUUUCGACCGAGAAGACCACCCCGACAAGGUAGUCGCCCCAGGCGUCUACCCGCUCGUCGUCGACCCCAUCAUCGUCAAUACCCGGCUCUCGAAAGUGCUGAUGGAUGGCGGUAGCAGCCUCAACAUCAUCUGCCUCGAGACCCUUGACCUCCUCGGCAUAGAUAGAGGGAAGCUCCAACCAAGUGCUGGCGGGUUCCAUGGCGUCAUGCCAGGAAAAAAGGCACUGCCAGUAGGUCGAAUUGACUUACCGGUCUGCUUCGGCACGGCGGCCAACUUCAGGAAGGAGACCCUCACCUUCGAGGUGGUUGGGUUUCGAGGCAUGUACCACGCCAUCAUCGGGCGCCCGGGCUACGCCAAGUUCAUGGCUAUACCCAACUACACCUACUUGAAGCUGAAGAUGCCCGGUCCCAAAGGCGUCAUCACUGUCAGUUCCUCCUUGGAGCACGCGUACGAGUGCGACGUCGAGUGCGUCGAGUACGGGGAGGCGGUCGAGAACUCCACCGAGCUCGUCGCGAAGCUCGAGGCCCUGGCCGCUGAGGCUCUAGAGCCUAAGCGCCACGCGGGCAGCUUCGAGGCGGCGGAAGGAACCCAGAAGAUCCUGCUCGACCCCAACAACUCCGACGGCAAAGUGCUGACGAUCAGCACCGACCUCGACCCCAAAUAGGAAGCUGUGCUCGUCGACUUUCUCCGUGCAAAUGCCGACAUGUUUGCAUGGAGUCCCUCGGACAUGCUAGGCAUACCGAGGGAAGUCGCCGAGCACUCCUUGGAGAUUCGAGCCGGUUCCAAGCCAGUGAAGCAGCGGUUGCGCCGAUUCGACGAGGAGAAGCACAAGAUCAUUGGAGAGGAAGUCCACAAGCUUUUGACGGCCGGAUUCAUCAAGGAGGUUCAUCAUCCUGACUGGUUAGCAAACCCUGUAUUAGCUAAGAAAAAGAAUGGGAAAAUGAGGAUGUGUGUCGAUUAUACUAGUCUGAAUAAAGCAUGUCCAAAAGUUCCCUUUCCAUUGCCAUGCAUUGAUCAGAUUGUCGAUUCUACCGCGGGAUGUGAAACCCUUUCUUUCCUUGAUGCAUAUUCUGGUUACCACCAAAUAAAAAUGAAGGAGUCCGACUAGCUCGCGACCUCUUUCAUCACGCCUUUUGGGAUGUAUUGCUACGUGACCAUGCCAUUUGGGCUUCGAAACGCGGGAGCCACGUAUCAACGUUGCAUGCUCCACGUGUUUGGCGAACAUAUAGGGUCCACGGUCGAGGCCUACGUCGACGACAUUGUCGUCAAGUCAAAGCGACGAGGAGACCUGAUCCAGGACCUCGAGAUUGCCUUUAGCUGCCUACGCACCAGCCGGAUCAAGCUCAAUCCCGAGAAGUGCGUUUUCGGUGUGCCUCGAGGCAUGCUCCUAAGUUACAUCGUUUCGCAGCGCGGCAUCGAGGCCAACCCCGAGAAAGUCUUGGCCAUCACGAGAAUGGGGCCGAUCCGAGACAUCAAGGGUGUACAGAGAGUCACGGGGUGCCUGGCGGCUCUGAGCCGUUUCAUCUCGAGACUAGGAGAAAAGGCAUUACCAUUAUAUCGACUCCUAAAGAAGGUCGAGCGUUUUUCUUGGACCCCCGAAGCCAAGGAAGCACUCGAAAGGCUGAAGAAGACGCUGACCUCGGCACCAGUCCUGGUUCCACCUCAACCUGCAGAGCCGCUGCUCCUCUACGUCGCGUCGACGACCCAGGUCGUUAGCGCGGCGGUGGUGGUCGAAAGACAAGAGGAGGGUCAUGCGCUGCCGGUCCAAAGGCCGGUCUAUUUCGUCAGCGAGGUGCUUUCGGAGACCAAGGCGCGUUAUCCCCAAAUCCAGAAGUUGAUCUACGCCGUAAUCCUUGCCCGCCGCAAGCUGCAGCAUUACUUCCUCGGUCACCCCAUCACGGUGGUUUCGUCUUUCCCUUUAGGAGAAAUAAUCCAGAGCAAAGAGGCCACGGGAAGAAUAGCAAAAUGGUCGGUCGAGCUCAUGAGUGAGACUCUCACUUACGCACCUCGGAAGGCCAUGAAAUCGCAAGCCCUGGUAGACUUCGUCGCGGAAUGGACAGACUCCCAGCUUCCCCCGACUCAGGUCCAGGCGGAGCUGUGGACAAUGUAUUUCGACGGGUCACUCAUGAAAACUGGGGCCGGGGCCGGCCUGCUGUUCAUCUCACCCUUAGGCGUCCACAUGAGGUAUGUAAUCAGGAUUCAUUUUGCCGCAUCUAACAAUGUCGCAGAAUAUGAGGCCCUGGUCAACGGUCUCAAGAUCGCUAUCGAGUUAGGAGUCCGACGCCUCGACGUCCGAGGUGACUCCCAACUCGUCAUCGACCAAGUAAUGAAAACCUCGAGCUGCCACGACCCAAAAAUGGAAGCGUACUGCAAGGAGGUCCGUCGACUCGAAGACAGGUUCCACGGUCUCGAGCUUGUCCAUGUCGCUCGACGCUACAACGAGGCAGCCGACGAACUCGCCAAGAUCGCAUCGACCAGAGGCACGGUGCCGCCUGAUGCAUUUUCAAAAGAUCUUCACGAGCCAUCCGUCGACCUAGGCAUGGGGGCUGGCGUCGACGCCACCACCGCCCAACCAACCAAUGCUGUCGAUACGCUCUUGAUGGUGGAAGAGAUGAUGGAGAUAGAACGACGACCAGGUCGACCAUUCGAUUGGCGCACACCGUUCCUCGACUGCCUUAUCCGCGGCGAGUUGCCAGAAGACAGGUCAGAAGCUCGUCGUAUUGCUCGACGGGCCAAAUCAUAUGUGAUCUAUGGCGAAGACAACGAGCUAUAUCGACGGAGCCCGACGGGGGUCUUACAACGUUGCAUCACUGUGGAAGAAGGCCGAAAACUCCUCGAUGACCUGCACUCGGGGGCUUGCGGUCACCACGCCGCUCCACGGACCCUUGUAGGGAACGCUUUUCGACAAGGCUUCUACUGGCCAACGGCCGUGGCGGACGGCAUCGAGCUCGUACGAUCAUGUCACGGGUGUCAGUUCUACGCCAAGCAGACGCAUCUGCCUGCCCACGCUCUUCAGAUGAUCCCCAUUACCUGGCCGUUUGCGGUGUGGGGGCUCGAUUUAGUAGGACCUCUACAAAAGGCGAAAGGAGGAUUCACCCAUUUGCUGGUGGCCAUUGACAAGUUCUCCAAAUGGAUCGAGGCUCGACCCAUCACCAACAUCCGCUCCGAGCAGGCCGUCCUUUUCUUCACCGACAUUAUCCAUCGGUUUGGGAUCCCCAAUGUCAUCAUCACCGACAACGGCACCCAAUUCACCGGCAAAAAGUUCUAGGACUUCUGCGAUCGGCAUCACAUCCGUGUGAACUGGUCUGCAGUAGCCCACCCUCGAACUAACGGCCAAGUCGAGCGUGCCAACGGCAUGAUUUUGCAAGGACUCAAGCCAAGGAUCUACAAUCGAUUGAAGAAAUUCGGCAAAAAAUGGGUCGAGGAGCUUUCCUCAGUCCUAUGGAGCCUUAGGACAACACCAAGCAGGGCCACAAAAUACACCCCAUUCUUCAUGGUCUACGGCUCUGAGGCUAUCCUCCCCACAGACCUCGAGUAUGGGUCACCUCGACUCAAGGCCUACAACGAGCAAUCGAACAAAGAGACUCAAGAAAACGCGGUCGACCAACUUGAGGAGGCUAGAGACAUGGCCCUCCUCAACUCUGCCAGAUAUCAGCAAAGGCUUCGACGCUACCACGACAAGCAUGUGUGCAAGAGGGACCUCAACGUGGGCGACCUAGUCCUACGACGCCGGCAAAGCAAUCAGGGACGCCACAAGCUGACUCCGCCUUGGGAAGGUCCGUACGUGGUAGCCGAGGUCCUGAAGCCGGGAACGUACAAGCUGGCGGACGAAAAGGGGGCAAUUCUCACCAACGCAUGGAACAUCGAACAGCUACGUCGAUUCUACCCCUAGAAGUUCUAAACUUAUGUUCCUGCUUACAUUUUGUACCAAGACUUUGUAAACGAAUGAAUAAAUAAAGUCUUUCCCUCGAAACAAUUCUUCUUUCUUUGCGCCGAGAAGAUUAAUAAGUCACGAUCUCGACGUUAAAAGGGGGCGCCGACUAUGACCCAUCAUAGUCAGCACCCCCUCGGGGGCUACCAGGGGGACGACACCCCCCCCCGAGUAUCGAAAAAACCAAGAAGUUUUCUUUUCUUACGUAGUAAACCUUGCACGGUUCGAGUAGCUAAGGCACCUCGAGCCCCUCAAAGGCCGAGGGACAACGAGCUGGAGAACUCCUACGCCCCCGAGCUACGGAAACUCUACUCGCUUCCCCACCAUUGAAGUGAUCGAGGCGGCCAGGUAACGAAAAAUCGAGCAAGGGAUACAAACGUAGGCGCAAAGAGAAACGAAAGCAUCAAGCGGAAAGACAAAAUAAGCAUCUAACAAUUACGAAAGUGAUACAGCAUCAGUUACCCACAGAAUUAACAAAGUAUUGUACAAGGGGCCUCAGGCGCCCUGAGCAGGCUCGCAGGCCUCAGUCCGCGGCACGAUCCUCACCGCUCUCGCCUCCGCCCGAGCUAGCCUCAGGAGGGAGCACCUCAGGCUCGAAAAGCUUGGCCAACCUUUCCCCAGGAGCCUCCGCGUCGUCGAUCAAGGCAUGGAGCCUCUCCUCGUUCUCUGCGUCGGUCUUGGAGAUGUCGGUGACGAAGCCAUGGGACACCACCUCCAUGUCGUAGGAGAAGCCCGAGCAGACAACCGCCAUCGCCCGCUUCACCCCGAUGUGGAGGGCGUCCCGCACCCAAUCUCGCAGCGUCGCGCCUAUGUAGCACAACUGGUCGACCAGGGCGUCGCCUCGAGCGUCCUCCCUCGACUCAUCCAUAGGCUCGACCUCCCAAGAGGUCGAGAGAUCACUUAUCGCCGUCCGUACUCGACGGUUCAAAGCAACCUCCGCCUCGAGCUGAGCCUUGGCGUUGCGAGCCUCGGCUUGGGCGGCCAGGAGCUCGUCCUUGAGCCCUGUAAAAGCCAAUACAAAGAGACCUUAGGAAAAACUAAGCACACCUCGGAAAAAGAAAUCUGAUAAAGGAAACAUACCGCGUACGGUCUCCUCGAGGGCCGUGUUCUCGCCGACCAGCCUGGUGUUGGCCCCCUCGAUCUCUUUGUUGGAGCGUGCCAGCUCGGUGUUGGCAACGCGGAGGUCCUCGAUCGCCUUGCCAGCCUGAGCAAUGGCCCCACUUGUUGAUGCAAAACUGAUCUACAAACACAAAGGGCUAAUACCCGAUUCAAACGUUAAGGCGUGCCAGCCGAUUUGACCUUGCUAUCGGCAAAGGUGAUAACUCGAAUACUUUAGUCCUGACAACAGCGAUGCGCCCGGAUGUCACGGCUAAGAGGUACUCACGCGGAACUCGAGAACACGCCGAGCUUAAGUCGACGAAUUCCUAAGAACUCGUAAUAAAAAGAAAAAGGUAUGACGAAGUCGUCGAAAAGUAGAUGCUGGAAUAUGAGUAAAAACGUGUGUUUGAUUGAUUUCUUGAUUGAUUAUUACAAGGUCCUAGGGUUUAUAUUUAUACCCUACUCAAAGAGCUACAACCAGACACGAUUAGAAUUCGAAUUCCAAAUUACACGGAAUCCGUAUACAAAACGAUGCAAAUAAUUAAGGAAAUAAUAAAACUAUCCUUCGUGACAAACCGAAACUCCUCCACAUGACAACUGGCAGCUUCCAGACUCCUCCCUCGCAUCAUCGGCAAUCCCCUUGCCAUAGUCAUCGGCAGACCUUUUUAUCCAGCUAUCGGCACCAUAUUACUGCCUGUGGACUUUGUCACAUUCAACCUCUCCCUCAUCGGCAACCAUCCUCAUCAGCAACCCGCAUCGUACUGCCACCCUAUCCUGCCAUCCUAGACACGUGCCCAAAAAUGGUGUCAACACAUGCCCCCCAGUUUCGGAGUAUAAAACUAUUAAUGCUCCGAAAUUCUCUGCAGUAAUGAUGCCUUCUCCGCAAUUAAUGCUCCUAAUCUAGUAACCGACAACCUCAAUCUGGACAACUCUGAUCCUAAUCCUCCGCAGAUUCCUCGAAAUCCCCAACUUCCUAAACGGGCAUCUUUCUUGGUCGUACAUCGGCAACAAUACAGUUACAAAGAUCUGCCGAUGCUCUGACUAGGAUAUUCGCAAAAACGGUUACCUCCCCUCUAUCCGCCCAUCGGCAAGAUGACCGUUAUAGAAUAUCGCCGAUGGACCGACCAGGAGAUCUCGCACAGUAAAAUAUCUUUAGAUAAUGACCGCUUCCCGUCAAAUCACCUGCACAAUCCCUGGAUUACCGUGCGAACAGUUACCAUAUCUACCUGAGUACCCUCGGGCUUCUCGGAUGCGACAAAGAGAUAAGUCGGAUUUGCCCUUGCCCGUCUUGUCCUAUAAAUAGUUCCUUCUUGGGUACUCCUCCCCCAUUACACCAUUCUACUAUCCAACUUUGCUUUUCCAGCGGCGGCGCCAUUUACAACCCUCAAGAUCUCCGACAAGCAUUCCUCUUCAUCAACUCCGGUGCCCUCCAACGUCCUCUUCACGACAAGAUGGCCAUUGGCUUCGUCGUCCCUGAGGUCAGACUUCCAUCUCAUCUCCUGUACCUUUUCUCGCAUUCCUGUUCAUCUGCGAUUCAUCUUACUGAAUAUCUUCCUUUUCCUUUUUCUUUGUAUUUUUAUUCCCCAAAACACUAGGAGUUGUCCAACAAAAUUGUCAUCCCUACCGAUCAACCACACCUUCAGUGCCUCGGCCCUCUAGGGAAUCCAGAUCCAACCGACCUUAUCAAUGCAGAAACCAACAGGAUUCCCUUUAGAGCCGAAAACUUUUCUUUAGAUCUGUGGAAAGACACCUUUCGCUCUUGGCCCAGCCCUACUGUAGGGUGGAAAGAUUGGUUCUUGAGGGUCAGCAAUUCUUAUGAAGUCCAGUGGGGUGAGAGGAAGCUAGCUCAAUGCAUUAGGCUAUCCAUUGCCGAUAUGCACAGGAACGAGUCACUGCUGAUAGCUGCAUCCUACUUUUGGUCAGACACUCUCAAUGCUUUUGUUUUUGGCCAGGGCCCUGCUUCUCCUACCCUUGCCGAUGUAGCCAUGCUUACUGGGCUAGAUAUAUCUUCUGCCGAUAGCACCCACUUUUUUGAUACUGCCCCCAGUACCAAAGUGGAGACUCGCGCUAUCGGCGGUUGGUCAGGGUACAUCCAGAAGUACCGCGGGAGAGGGCCUGUCACCAUAAAGGAGCAAACCACCUUUCUGAACAUGUGGCUGGACAAGUUUGUAUUCUGUGGUCGAUCGGCAGGACCGACUUCUGUCUAUCUAUCGGCAGCAGAAAGACUGGCUAGCGGUGGCCAAUUUUCUCUCGGCCGAUAUUUGCUCAGCGCUGUUUACCACCUUCUUCAUCAGGUAGCCCAGAAACUCCUGCUUGGCCAAUCCAUCGGCAACUUGGGAGGCCCCUGGUGGUUUAUUAAUAUGUGGCUCAAUCUGCACCUGCAUAAGCGCCUUGAUUUCAACUUGUUCUCACAGCACUUCCCAAGAGAUAUAGCCGAAAAUCAUGUGUUGGGUGAAGAGGAAUCGGCAACGCGUGCCCCCUUGAACUUUGGCGAAGCCGUUAUAGUCUUACCCGGUUAAGGGAACAAUCCGGAUCAGAUCGGCCGAUUCUUUGAGACUCUGUAUGAGGGUCUGGCCAGAGAUGAACGACCAUGGCUGGCUUAUGACGACCCAGAUAGCAUGCUCCCUCUGACCUUCAAUCCAUUUGAUGAAGCUCUCGACAGGGACAAUGAGGUGAUGAUGGCAAUUGUGACUCCCAGAGCCAUACCAGUGAAUUUCUUCGGUAGCACAAAAACCUCUCCCCAAACCUAUGAAUUUUAUAAUCCAUCGGCAUUAGCUCGCCAGCUAGCUUUCGGCCAGUUGCCGAUUGCACUUCCUUAUGCCGAUGUGAUAAAGCCCAGAGAACCCAUCGCCAACCUUCUCGAGUGGACUCGAGUAGCCCAGCUACCACCAAAUGCCGAUACAGAUGUAGAUCUGUCAGAAUGGGUUCCAGCUGCCUUUAUCACUCAGGCAUACAAGCUAUGGUGGGCAGAAUGGAAAGAGAAUCUAUUCUGCAGAUCGGCCCUCUCAUACCGUGGCAUGAUCGACCCCGAAUACGAAGUCCCUGAUGACACUGUAAGUAUUUUAAACUGAUGUCUCAUUUUCCAAUACUAUUUCCAUCGGUAACUUACCCCUGUAUUCCUUUUGCAGGUUGACAACACCCCCCCAUCGGUUAGCAGGAGUGGCAAGCCGAUCUACUUGUUACCAUCAGGCCCGAUCUCCUCAAUCGGCCAUAAUGCUCCCACUCUGGCUUCCAUCGUGCAUCGGGGUGCGCGCCUCAAGAAAGUUACCACCAGGAAAACUCAGACAUCACCAACGGUAGCUGCUUCCACUCUGGCGCAAGCUUUCAGGGCAAUUUGUCAAAACCUUUUCAUUUAUGCUAACUAUCUUUGUAUCGGCUAUCUAUGCUCAUAAACUCCUUUUUGUUGUUGCAGCAAACUGGUGCAUCGGCAAAAGCCAAACGCCAAGGUACCGAUGCCCCCCAGUCUAGCCAGCCAAAGAGGAAGGGCACCCAAGGUGCUAAGGCUGGAACAAAGCGCCAGAAAGUGGCAACUCCCCCUCCUCCUCCGGUGUCUCCAAUCCCGGUAGAAUCUUCCCCUUCUUCUCCAGAUGUCCAGACACAGCAAGCACCAUCUCCCCAACCAAUGCAGGAAGCACCACAGAUGGAAGAACCCCAGCAGGAAGAACCUCAAACAGAAGGUACAUCAGCUGACGUGGGUGAACAAACAACUGGCCCGGCAGGUCCAGUUAUAUCAUCGGCGGUUUCCCCAAUUCAGACAACUGUUGUUCCUCCUCCGGGUAACAUAUCUCAACAAUACUUCCGCCGAUAAACUUAUUCUCAUUUAGUCUCAUAACCCUUCCUGUCUUCUUUCAGGCGAUAUCGUUCCAUCGGCAACAUCUGCCGAUCAACCUGUAGCUCCAUCGGUAUCUUUGAGUCAAAGGCAAGAAAUUGCCCUGAAACAAGUAAGUCAUCCAAUUUUUCCACCAGCAUCGUCUGCCGAAGCUUUGACCAUAAAAAUGACUUAUUUCAUUCUCAUUUUCAGGAACAAGAUUCUCCCGAUAGCUUAUUCUCCUUCGCCAUUGAUAUCUUCGAAGAAGAAGGUGAGGAAGCAAGCUCCUCUCGGGCAAUUGGGACUGUAUCGGUAGAAACCAGGGCUAAGCUGGAGGAGCUAUCGGCCAUACUUCAUCAAGACACUGCUCAACUGGUCAACGAUUCUGACCCAGCCAAGGCCCUGUUCAAAACCCUUAGAGGCCAAAUUCCUGCCGAUGCUGAAGAAACCCUCUUCCAUGCUGCAUACCUAGAAAGCCGCCAGCUACAGUACUAGAGAGCCACUCGACGCCUUGCCGAUAGAGCCGCUCAAAUCCAGCUUUCUGAGGAGAUGAUAAAAGAAAAACUCUUAGCCGACGAGAAACUUAAGAACAUCGGCACCUUAAAGUCCUCAGGUGAUGCACUGAAGCAGAAAGUAUCUGAUCUAUCGGCAAAAAGAGAAGCUCUACUGGCCGAACUCAAGCAAGUAGAGGAUGCUCUGUCCCAAGCCCAGCAAGAAGAGAGUCAACUGCCGGAGACCAUCAAGCACCUUGAACAAGAACGAAACGUCCACGGCCGCAAAGCGCUGCAGCUGAAGAGGAAGCUGAAGCCGAUAGAAGGUUCUGCCGAUGAUGAUAUCAAAGAGAUAGAGACAGCCAAUCAGAUCCGGCUGCGCGCCAUAUCGGCAAUCCAAGCGCUGCUGAACAUCUGAAGCUUUCAUCGGCAACACACCUUUGUUUUCCCGCUUUUAGCUUUUAGUCUAGCCGAUAAGACUGUUAUCGGCAUCUUUUGAAACAUUAAGUCUGCCCCCAAACAUUUAAAUCCAGCCGAUAGGAGUGUUAUCGGCACUUAAACUUUUAUGCAUCGACCCAUAUGCUGGGGUAGUACUUCUUUAAAUAUUUGCCAUUUAAUGCUCUGGGAAAUUCAACUCCUUCGAGAGUUUCUAGAAUAUAGGCAUUACCAGGAGCCGAGUGUCUUAUCCGAUAAGGACCUUCCCAAUUAGGAGACCACUUCCCAAACUUCGAACUUUUAGUCCCGACUGGCAAAAUCAACUUCCAUACCAAAUCCCCAUCGGCAAACUCCUUAGCCUUUACUUUCUUAUCAUACCAUCUAGCAACUCUCUUCUUAUUUUCUUCUAUACUCAUUAAAGCCUUUAACCGAUGCCCUGCUAAAUCAUCUAACUCAUCGGUCAUCAAAGUGGCAUAAUCAUCGGCAGCCAAUUGAUCUUGAAAAGAUAAUCGCCUAGAUCCAGCCUUAAUCUCCCAAGGCAACACUGCAUCAUGUCCAUACACCAAUUGAUAGGGUGACACCUUGGUUGAUCCAUGACAAGCCAUCCGAUAAGACCAUAGUGCUUCAUUUAACAAUGUAUGCCACCGCCUAGGAUUUUCUUCAAUCUUUCGUUUAAUAUGCUUGAUAAUUCCUUUGUUAGACGCUUCGGCCUGCCCAUUGGCUUGAGCAUAGUAAGGAGAAGAAUUCAACACUUUAAUUCCCAUACCGAUUGCGAAUUCAUCGAACUCCCCUGACGUGAACAUGGUGCCCUGAUCGGUAGUAAUCGUUUGGGGAAUCCCAAAUCGGUAAAUAAUAUGCUCCUUCACAAAAUCAAUCAUAUUGGCCGAUGUGACUUUCUUCAAAGGAAUAGCUUCGACCCACUUAGUGAAAUAGUCAGUGGCAACUAGAAUGAACUUAUGCCCUUUGCUAGAUGGUGGAUAAAUCUGGCCGAUCAGAUCGAUGGCCCAUCCCCGGAACGGCCAAGGUUUUAUUAUAGGAUUCAUAGCCGAUGCGGGUGCUCUCUGGAUAUUACCGAACUUUUGACAACCUUGACAUCCCUUGAAAUAUUUAAAACAAUCUUCAAGUAUGGUUGGCCAAAAAUAUCCAUUCCUUCGAAUCAUCCACUUCAUCUUAAAAGCUGACUGAUGCGCUCCACACACUCCUUCAUGGAUUUCCCCCAUCAAACUUCUGGCUUCAUCAUCACCCAAGCAUCGGAGAAGAAUUCCGUCGACAGUUCGAUAAUACAAUUCAUUUUCAAGGAGCACAUACUUGGUCGCUUGAAAUCGAACCCGUCUUUCAACUUUUUUGGAUGGAUCUUUUAGAUAAUCAAUAAUUUCUUUCCUCCAAUCACCGGCACUGACUGCCGAUGUCGCAUUAAUCAUUGGCUGAUAUCCUGAGGCAUGCUGGGCUAACCGAUUAGCGUCUUCAUUAUGCAAUCGGGGAACAUGCUCCAAUCGGAAGUCCUUGAAUUCCUUUAACAGUUGCAUACUUCUCUCGAAAUAGGUUAUGAGAACUUCACUUCGGCAUUCAUAGCUUCCGGCCAAUUGAUUUAUAACCAACAUAGAAUCCCCGAAUAUUUCAACAGCAUCAGCACGAACUUCUCUUAACAACUCCAAUCCCUUGAUCAGAGCUUGAUACUCAGCCUGAUUAUUUGUUGAUGUAGCAACAAUCGGCAAGGAAAACUCAUACUUCCUCCCCUUAGGAGAAACUAAUACAAUGCCGAUUCCUGCCCCCCGGUCACAGGUAGAUCCAUCAAA